CCUANGUGUGGCAGCAGUCGAGAAUUUUUCACAAUGGGCGCAAGCCUGAUGGAGCGACGCCGCGUGCGGGAAGAAGGCCUUCGGGUUGUAAACCGCUUUUGUCCGGAAAGAAAGGGCAUCCCCUAAUACGGGGUGUCCCUGACGGUACCGGAAGAAUAAGCACCGGCUAACUACGUGCCAGCAGCCGCGGUAAUACGUAGGGUGCGAGCGUUAAUCGGAAUUACUGGGCGUAAAGCGUGCGCAGGCGGUUCGCUAAGUCUGAUGUGAAAGCCCCGGGCUCAACCUGGGAACUGCAUUGGAAACUGGCGAGCUUGAGUGUGGCAGAGGGGGGUAGAAUUCCACGUGUAGCAGUGAAAUGCGUAGAGAUGUGGAGGAACACCGAUGGCGAAGGCAGCCCCCUGGGCUAACACUGACGCUCAGGCACGAAAGCGUGGGGAGCAAACAGGAUUAGAUACCCCGNUANUC
Molecule: ribosomal RNA, 465 nt
Filed under: uncultured bacterium
Lineage: Bacteria
Description: bacterial SSU rRNA
Rfam family: Bacterial small subunit ribosomal RNA
Source: RNAcentral